RNAcentral lists this unclassified non-coding RNA (168 nucleotides) under uncultured Ascomycota. Its description in RNAcentral is "sequence contains ITS1". The record is from RNAcentral. Lineage: Eukaryota; Fungi; Ascomycota.
CUGAGUUAUCACAACUCCAAACCCAUGUGAACUUACCAUUGUUGCCUCGGCGGGAAGACCUACCCGGGACCUACCCGGUAGCUACCCUGUAGCGCAGGUCACCUCGCCGAUGGACCAUCAAACUCUUGUUUCUGUGGGCACUUCUGAGGAUACUAUUAAAAUAAGUCA